GUGAAUGUUCUAGAUCAACCAACACACUGACAGUGGUGAAUGUUCUAGACAUGCAUGAGAUUCACUCACUCAAUCACCCCAGCGCUUGGAGCUAGGCUAAUAAACAAGAGUUUGAGUCCGUUAAUAAAUAUCUGUAGAAUGUUCUGCUGUGAAAUAGAGUACACACACACACACACACACACACAGUGUGAAUGAUUAAAAAGGAGAAUAACAGGUGAAAGACAGAGCAAGCUCAUCUCUAAGUGGGAAGCUGAUCUGUAUAUCAACUGUUCUGUGUGGUGUGUCAGAAGCUUAAUUGACACAGGAGAGAAAAGCCUAAAUAAAGAAACAUCAUGACACAAUUCAUAUGGCCAGGUAAAACAUUUAUAAAUGAAUAAAAACCUUCCCUUUAUUUUCUGUUUCUUCCAGAUUUUUCCCCACAAAGUUUUUUUUUUUUUUUGCUUUUGUUUCAUGUUUUUCUUCUCUCUUAAAUUAUAUAAAAAUAUUUCAGACAUUCAUUUCGCAUGUGUUUCAUUCAGUCCUCUUGAUUAAUUCAUAUGCCCCUGUAUUUCUAAAGACCCAUUGGUUUAUACAUUAUUUACAGGUUAACUCAGUCCGUCUCCCGUUUCAGCCUUGGCGUUAGGACACCAGAACAUAUUUGCAUAGAUUCCAGGAGAGAUCUAUCUGUCGUUUCACAAUACAGGAACAAACAAAAAAAAGUGAGAGAGAGAACAGCUGACAGACAAUUUCCAGAAAUCUACAUUUAAAUCAAAAAUCGUUUGAAACUUAAAUCUUUAAAAAAAAUGACACACACACAAUACUAAUGAGAACCAUAAAUCCAUCCUCGUCAGCUCAUUGACUAGAUAAUCACAGUGAGUUGUUCAGCUCUCUUGUGGUAUCUUGUCAUUUGGAACAGUAACUACAUUCUCUCCAAACAUAGUUUGAAUGAUGAUAAGCAGUAAAUAUAAUAGGAAGUCGGGAAGUGACAUCAGAGGAUCUGCAUGGCAUUAUGUGGAGUGGCUGACUGGCAGUUUCAGAGAGAUGGCUGUAUGAGGGAGAGAGGUGCAUGACUGAGGAAGACUACUGCUGCCACACACACACACACACACACACACACACACACACACACACACACACAAAACCUGGAAAGAGCUGAACAGGCUCACAAAUCACCAAUCAACACAAUUGAAAUAGUUGCUUGAAUUUCUUAACAAUUUACAAUAAAAAGGAAAAUGCUAACAUGGUGACAACACCUGAUCCAGCUACUGGCUGUAGCCACCCUGAAACCCAGAUGUAUUUAACUCAACUGAGUUAGUUUAGGGUUUGUUGCAUGCAUAACGUAGAAUUACUUAUUGUAGGUUUGCGUUCUUGUGGAUGGGGGUUGCUUCAAGAGAACAGUGAACUGUCUAAUAAAGAACAGUGCAUCUAACUCACACAACCUUUAACAAGCAAUUAUUUCACAAGAAAAAUAUUCAUACAAGUUAAAAAAAAACAGACUUCGAGUGACUGAUUUGAUGUCUGAUCAAAAUGAAAUAGAUAACGGUUAAUAAGAGAUAAUCAUUUGGUCAUUGCCAGGGUACAGUUUGUGACCUCAAGGGGAGGGGGAUUUACCGACUGUAAAAUCCUUUUUUUCUUGCACAACGUAUUGAGACAAUAAAACCGAAUGAAAAGGGACACAUUGGAGGUGAACGAAACAGACAGAAUGAGAGGGUUUGGAUGGACAGCUGGAGGGACGGAUGGUGUUUUGGAAAACACUGCGGUAGUUUACUCCCUCCCUCUUCAACACAGAAACAGCUGGAUUCUCAGUCUAGCACAAGAUUACCCAGAACCUACUUGUGGAACUAGCGACUUCUCAUACAGAUUUUAUUGUUCAUAUUUUUAUUGAAUUACUGUAUAUUCUUUUUUUCCCCUCUUCAAACAUCUGGAUGUAGCUGUUCGAGAAACUUGGGGAAUAUCGUCAAUUCUGGAGAUUCAAUUCUUGAGAGUUAUACAUGUCCAGAAUAAGAGUAACAGCACAGGAUAUUAAGGGAACCAUUGUAGCCAUGGCUUUCAUCAAACGUCAAAGUCAAGAGUCGUACCUGUCGACCAGAGUUUCCUGCAUAUCCAUUUUAAAUUCUGACAGAUGUUCUGGGGGGAAAAAAACUGGCAAAAACAGUUGUUUCACUGACAGAGCAGAGAGAAUGUUGAGCCAAGAUACUGACAAUAUAGAGGCAGGGUUAGAGAUGGACUUUCACAUACACACACUGACACACACACUUAAAAACAACCUCAAACCUUAGAUAAAAAAAUACAAACGGAAAUGAAAGUAAUUAAAGUGUCUUGGCAAAGCCUCAAACACCGUGUGGGCUAGCUUCUCAACACAACGCAUACAAAUCAAUAUUAGAUGCACGGAAACACUGACAUGGUUAAAGUUUCUACAGACUAGUUUCCCAGAGAGAAGAAAAAAAGGUGCCAUCUUUACUUGGUACCUCAAGAGACAAGAAUGACACCUUUUAGAUAUGUAUAUUACCUAUGUAAGGUUAAGUAUUACCGUUUAAGACUGCAUCAUGCUUAGUUAGGCUAGGUCCAAGGUUAUCAUUAGCCUGGGUACCAGUCUCUUAGUUAGGCUAGGUCCAAGGUUAUCAUUAGCCUGGGUACCAGUCUCUUAGUUAGGCUAGGUCCAAGGUUAUCAUUAGCCUGGGUACCAGUCUCUUAGUUAGGCUAGGUCCAAGGUUAUCAUUAGCCUGGGUACCAGUCUCUUAGUUAGGCUAGGUCCAAGGUUAUCAUUAGCCUGGGUACCAGUCUCUUAGUUAGGCUAGGUCCAAGGUCAUCAUUAGCCUGGGUAACAGUCUCUUAGUUAGGGUAGGUCCAAGGUCAUCAUUAGCCUGGGUACCAGUCUCUUAGUUAGGCUAGGUCCAAGGUCAUCAUUAGCCUGGGUACCAGUCUCUUAGUUAGGCUAGGUCCAAGGUUAUCAUUAGCCUGGGUACCAGUCUCUUAGUUAACCUUGGAACUAGCCUUUCAUUAGCCUGGGUACCAGUCUCUUAGUUAGGCUAGUUCCAAGGUUAUCAUUAGCCUGAGUACCAGCCUCUAGAGAAUCCACUCCCUAUACACAAAUCAAAUCAACAUAUUAAUUGUCACGUACAUGUUGUCAUGUGCCAAAUAUGGUAAUGGCAAGGAGUAGAAUGUUAGCUAAGAGACUGGUACUCAGACUAGGUUAUUAUGACAGUUCUAUGUUCCAUUAUAGAACAGUUGGGGUGAAUGUUCUUUGGAUUCCAUGUUCCUAGCCUAGGUGAUAGAUCUACAGUAUCUUUUCCUUGAAGUAUCUUUCCCCCAACAGGAAGAAUGCCUUUCAGUAUAGAUAGUCAGCGUAAACUGAUAAUGGCCCUUUGGACUGGGACCCUAUUCUCCCAGGGUUUCGAGAGCCCAAAACAAAACUGUGUAGCCUAUUUCACACAACAACAGAUUUGAUGGACGGAUCGUCAAUUCGGUUAAUUGCAAACAGGAAACUAAAUGUGAUAAAUGUAGUCACAUUAAAACAAAUGUAAAGCUUUUAGAGGAACCAAUAUCUCCAGAGGAAAACCAGCACGAGAGAAGAGAGGUUGAAAGCAACGAGCACGAGGUUUUCUCCCAGUCUCAGACUACCGAUGAAACUUCCCAUCCUCCGUCCCACACUGAACCAUCAGAGAGGUAGACUCUACAAAGCAGGAUCAAUGAGUUAGCCAGCUAACUUUGACAAGCAACCAGAGGGGUAGACUCUACAAAGCAGGAUCAAUGAGUUAGCCAGCUAACUUUGACAAGCAACCAGAGGGGUAGACUCUACAAAGCAGGAUCAAUGAGUUAGCCAGCUAACUUUGACAAGCAACCAGAGGGGUAGACUCUACAAAGCAGGAUCAAUGAUUUAGCCAGCUAACUUUGACAAGCAACGAGAGGGGUAGACUCUACAAAGCAGGAUCAAUGAGUUAGCCAGCUAACUUUGACAAGCAACCAGAGGGGUAGACUCUACAAAGCAUGAUCAAUGAGUUAGCCAGCUAACUUUGACAAGCAACCAGAGGGGUAGACUCUACAAAGCAUGAUCAAUGAGUUAGCCAGCUAACUUUGACAAGAAACCAGAGGGGUAGACUCUACAAAGCAGGAUGAAUGAGUUAGCCAGCUAACUUUGACAAGCAACCAGAGGGGUAGACACUACAAAGCAUGAUCAAUGAGUUAGCCAGCUAACUUUGACAAGCAACCAGAGAGGUAGACUCUACAAAGCAGGAUGAAUGAGUUAGCCAGCUAACUUUGACAAGCAACCAGAGGGGUAGACUCUACAAAGCAGGAUCAAUGAGUUAGCCAGCUAACUUUGACAAGCAACCAGAGGGGUAGACUCUACAAAGCAUGAUCAAUGAGUUAGCCAGCUAACUUUGACAAGCAACCAGAGGGGUAGACUCUACAAAGCAUGAUCAAUGAGUUAGCCAGCUAACUUUGACAAGCAACCAGAGGGGUAGACACUACAAAGCAGGAUCAAUGAGUUAGCCAGGCCUAAAGCACUGCAGUGUUUUUUAUACAACAGAACAGAAACACAGCCUUUCCGAUGGCAACACCUUGUGCAUGACCAAAUAGACUGGCAACACCUUGUGCAUGACCAAAUAGACUGGCAACACCUUGUGCAUGACCAAAU
Molecule: long non-coding RNA, 4615 nt
Organism: Oncorhynchus tshawytscha (Chinook salmon)
Lineage: Eukaryota; Metazoa; Chordata; Actinopteri; Salmoniformes; Salmonidae
Source: Ensembl